AUUGAACGCUGGCGGCAGGCUUAACACAUGCAAGUCGAACGGCAGCACGGGAGCAAUCCUGGUGGCGAGUGGCGAACGGGUGAGUAAAGUAUCGGAACGUGCCCAGUCGUGGGGGAUAACGUAGCGAAAGUUACGCUAAUACCGCAUACGAUCUAUGGAUGAAAGCGGGGGAUCGCAAGACCUCGCGCGAUUGGAGCGGCCGAUAUCAGAUUAGGUAGUUGGUGGGGUAAAGGCUCACCAAGCCGACGAUCUGUAGCUGGUCUGAGAGGACGACCAGCCACACUGGGACUGAGACACGGCCCAGACUCCUACGGGAGGCAGCAGUGGGGAAUUUUGGACAAUGGGCGAAAGCCUGAUUCAGCCAUGCCGCGUGCAGGAUGAAGGCCUUCGGGUUGUAAACUGCUUUUGUACGGAACGAAAAGGUUUGGCCUAAUAAGCUGAGCUCAUGACGGUACCGUAAGAAUAAGCACCGGCUAACUACGUGCCAGCCGCCGCGGUAA
Molecule: ribosomal RNA, 500 nt
Filed under: uncultured bacterium
Lineage: Bacteria
Description: partial 16S ribosomal RNA
Rfam family: Bacterial small subunit ribosomal RNA
Source: RNAcentral